CGAGUAUGUGGCCAUUUCUCAUCGUUAUACGAUUUAAAAAAGGUAUCAUAGAAAAAGCUAAAUAACAGCUCUUUCGUCCUAUGAAAAAAUUGAAUAGGUAGACUGAAUAAUAGAUUUUGAACUAACUUAUUUUAUAUCUAUUUUAUUGCUUGUAUUUUAAAUUUAGAAGUAGAGAGGGCACAUAUUGAUAACAGUGUCUUGUGCACUGAAAUGUUUUACCCUCUG
Molecule: non-coding RNA, 225 nt
Organism: Paramuricea clavata
Lineage: Eukaryota; Metazoa; Cnidaria; Anthozoa; Malacalcyonacea; Plexauridae
Source: the annotation of a GenBank genome assembly